UGAAUACGAGACGCUACGGCGUCGAAGCAGUCUAUGUCAUACUUCCAAGAAAAGCUCGCAAUGUCAUAAACAAAUAAUGCCUGUACCAUAACCGACACAGGUGGGUAGGUAGAGUAUACUAAGGGGCGCGAGAUAACUCUCUCUAAGGAACUCGGCAAAAUGACUCCGUAACUUCGGGAGAAGGAGUGCCUUAUUUAUAAGGUUGCAAUAACAAGAUCCAAGCAACUGUUUAUCAAAAACACAGGUCUCCGCUAGGUCGUAAGACGAUGUAUGGGGGCUGACGCCUGCCCAGUGCCAGAAGGUUAAAGAAGUUGGUUAGCAUUCGCGAAGCUGAUAACUGAAGCCCUGGUGAACGGCGGCCGUAACAAUAACGGUCCUAAGGUAGCGAAAUUCCUUGUCGGGUAAGUUCCGACCCGCACGAAAGGCGUAAUGAUUUGGAUACUGUCUCGGAGAGGGGCUCGGUGAAAUAGACUUGUCUGUGAAGAUGCGGACUACCUGCACCUGGACAGAAAGACCCUAUGAAGCUUUACUGUAACUUGAAAUUGAAAUUGGACUUUAUUUGCGCAGCAUAGGUGGGAGGCGUUGAGAGUAUUCUUGCGGGAAUAUUGGAGCCAUCAGUGAGAUACCACUCUUGUAAUGUUAGAUUUCUAACUUUGUAUCCUAAUCGGGUCAAAGAACAGUUUCAGGCGGGCAGUUUGACUGGGGCGGUCGCCUCCCAAACGGUAACGGAGGCGUACAAAGGUUUCCUCUGAACAGGUAGAAAUCGUAUCUAGAGUGUAAAGGCAUAAGGAAGCUUGACUGUGAGACCUACAAGUCGAGCAGGGACGAAAGUCGGUCUUAGUGAUCUGACGGUGCUGAGUGGAAAGGCCGUCACUCAACGGAUAAAAGUUACUCUAGGAUAACAGGCUGAUCUCCCCCAAGAGUUCACAUCGACGGGGAGGUUUGGCACCUCGAUGUCGGCUCAUCGCAUCCUGGGGCGGUAGUACGUCCCAAGGGUUGGGCUGUUCGCCCAUGAAAGCGGUACGCGAGCUGGGUUCAGAACGUCGUGAGACAGUUCGGUCCAUAUCCGGUGUAGGCGUUAGAAUAUUGAGAGGAGCCUUCUUUAGUACGAGAGGACCGAGAAGGACAUACCUCUGGUGUACCAGUUAUCGUGCCAACGGUAAACGCUGGGUAGCUAUGUAUGGAGAGGAUAACCGCUGAAAGCAUCUAAGUGGGAAGCCCACCUCAAGAUAAGUAUUCUCAUCACGUAAGUGAAUAAGGUCACGGUAAGACUAACCGUUUGAUAGGCAUUAAGUGUAAAUCUGGUAAUAGGUGAGCUGAGAUGUACUAACAGACCGAAGACUUGAAUAA
RNAcentral lists this ribosomal RNA (1350 nucleotides) under metagenome. RNAcentral's name for it is "bacterial LSU rRNA". It matches the Rfam family "Bacterial large subunit ribosomal RNA", at positions 1564 to 2925 of the family's 2925-position model. The record is from RNAcentral.